This 373-nucleotide RNase P RNA is filed under the name Chlamydiia bacterium. RNAcentral's name for it is "RNase P RNA component class A". It matches the Rfam family "Bacterial RNase P class A". Rfam says of the family: Ribonuclease P (RNase P) is a ubiquitous endoribonuclease, found in archaea, bacteria and eukarya as well as chloroplasts and mitochondria. Its best characterised activity is the generation of mature 5'-ends of tRNAs by cleaving the 5'-leader elements of precursor-tRNAs. The record is from RNAcentral. Lineage: Bacteria; Pseudomonadati; Chlamydiota; Chlamydiia.
GAGGAAGGAGAGGCAACCGCUGUCUCAUCAAUGAGAGAGAGGAAAGUCUGGACUUCGUAGGAGAGGAUACCAGCGAAAGGCUGGGGGCCUUAAGGCUACGGAAAGUGUAACAGAAAACAUACCGCUAUUUUUUUAUUAAAGUAGACAGGCUGAAAAUGGCAAUUUUAGGAAUUGUCUAGUUUAUGGAAAUAUAAACUACUGUAAACCCUAUCCGAAGCAAGAUAAAGAGACUUUUUAUAUAUAUUGACCUAUUCUCCGUGGGGAUGAGUCUCUUGAGCAUCGCUUGAGAAUCUGGGUGACUGGGUUCCUAGAUGAAUGGUUGCCCCUUUUUAUUUUAAGAGGACAGAAUCCGGCUUAUCCUCCUUCCUCUUUU